GAUGAACGCUGGCGGUAUGCUUAACACAUGCAAGUCGAACGGUACCUUCGGGUAUAGUGGCGGACGGGUGAGUAACGCGUGCGAAUCUAUCUUCAGGUCGGGGACAACAGUUAGAAAUGACUGCUAAUACCGGAUGUGCCGAAAGGUAAAAGAUUUAUUGCCUGAAAAAGAGCUCGCGUCAGAUUAGCUAGUAGGUGGUGUAAGAGACUACCUAGGCUUCGAUCUGUAGCUGGUCUGAGAGGACGAUCAGCCACACUGGAACUGAGACACGGUCCAGACUCCUACGGGAGGCAGCAGUGGGGAAUUUUCCGCAAUGGGCGAAAGCCUGACGGAGCAAUACCGCGUGAGGGACGAAGGCUCUUGGGUCGUAAACCUCUUUUCUCAAGGAAGAUUCAGACGGUACUUGAGGAAUAAGCAUCGGCUAACUCUGUG
Molecule: ribosomal RNA, 432 nt
Filed under: uncultured bacterium
Lineage: Bacteria
Description: partial 16S ribosomal RNA
Rfam family: Bacterial small subunit ribosomal RNA
Source: RNAcentral